RNAcentral lists this ribosomal RNA (301 nucleotides) under uncultured bacterium. Its description in RNAcentral is "partial 16S ribosomal RNA". It matches the Rfam family "Bacterial small subunit ribosomal RNA", at positions 509 to 807 of the family's 1533-position model. The record is from RNAcentral.
CAGCAGCCGCGGGAAUACAGAGGGUGCAAGCGUUAAUCGGAUUUACUGGGCGUAAAGGGCGCGUAGGUGGUUAUGUAAGUGAGAUGUGAAAUCCCCGGGCUCAACCUGGGAACUGCAUCUUAUACUGCGUAGCUGGAGUGCAGUAGAGGGUAGUGGAAUUUCCGGUGUAGCGAUGAAAUUCGUAGAUAUUGGGAAGAACACCAGAGGCGAAGGCGGCUCACUGGACCGACACUGACGCUGAGGCGCGAAAGCGUGGGGAGCAAACAGGAUUAGAUACCCCAGUAGUCCCUGUCUCUUAUAC